GUGCUUCCAAACCGACUUCAACCUUUGGCGUGAGAAUCACAUGGAGAUCAUCAGGAUUGGAGGGAAUCUUGCAACCGACUGCAAGAUAAGGUAGGUCGUUCGAAAGGUGAAAAUUGAAAGCGGACUUAUUUUCAUCCAACGCCGGUGAGUGAAAUUUAUUUAUUAAUAUAUCGUAUCCGUUCCGCGGAUUUUUUCGUGGUCGGUUCGGGGGUUUGAAUUUUCGAGAUGAUUUUAUCUCUCGAUCAGAUGAUGUCGAGAUGCCAGUAGAUAUGGCUCCAUCA
Fopius arisanus is the source of this 281-nucleotide long non-coding RNA. RefSeq lists it as uncharacterized. NCBI's taxonomy places the organism in Eukaryota, Metazoa, Arthropoda, Insecta, Hymenoptera, Braconidae. The record is from RefSeq and is a predicted model, not a curated record. The transcript is spliced from 2 exons.